GUAAACACGGUGAAGGGGAACAAGUACUUAAAAAACCUUUUUCAGAGAAUUGGUGGAUGGUGCGAACCAAUAAUUAGGAUUUUAAGGAAUUUCCGCCCUGGAGUGGAGUAUGAUGAAUACAACCGGAUUACAUGACCGUUAUCGUGUAGCUGAGAGGAGUAGUAGACCUAUGUCUAUUAUUUAAUCAGGGUGGCAACGCGGGUAUAUAACUCGUCCCUAUU
Molecule: non-coding RNA, 221 nt
Filed under: Desulfonispora thiosulfatigenes
Lineage: Bacteria; Bacillati; Bacillota; Clostridia; Eubacteriales; Peptococcaceae
Description: T-box sequence
Rfam family: T-box leader
About the family: Uncharged tRNA acts as the effector for transcription antitermination of genes in the T-box leader family.
Source: RNAcentral